AGAACGAACGCUGGCGGCAUGCCUAAUACAUGCAAGUCGAACGAACACUUCGGUGUUAGUGGCGCACGGGUGCGUAACGCGUGGGAAUCUGCCCUUGGGUUCGGAAUAACAGUUGGAAACGACUGCUAAUACCGGAUGAUGACGAAAGUCCAAAGAUUUAUCGCCCAGGGAUGAGCCCGCGUAGGAUUAGCUAGUUGGUGAGGUAAAGGCUCACCAAGGCGACGAUCCUUAGCUGGUCUGAGAGGAUGAUCAGCCACACGUGGGACUGAGACACGGCCCAGACCUCCGUACGGGAGCAGCAGGUAGGGAAUAGUUAGGAACAAGUGGGACGACGAAAGCCUAGACUCCGAAGCAAUGCCCGU
RNAcentral lists this ribosomal RNA (362 nucleotides) under uncultured soil bacterium. RNAcentral's name for it is "bacterial SSU rRNA". It matches the Rfam family "Bacterial small subunit ribosomal RNA", at positions 26 to 402 of the family's 1533-position model. The record is from RNAcentral.